RNAcentral lists this long non-coding RNA (555 nucleotides) under Homo sapiens (human). Its description in RNAcentral is "HSALNT0141413". The record is from RNAcentral. Lineage: Eukaryota; Metazoa; Chordata; Mammalia; Primates; Hominidae.
UGGAACGAUGGGAAUGCCUACGGGAGGAGGAGCUCCUGGGAGCGAGAUCAGGAUUUUGAGUUUGGAUAUGUUAAGCUUGAGAUGUUUCUUGUAGUCAAACAUGCAACUGGAUACAUUAGGCUGGACUUCAGGAGAGAGGCCCAGGCUAGAGAAAUAAAAUGGGAACUCAUUCACAUAGGAAUUCGAGGCCUGAGACUGAACGAGAUCACCACCAAGGCACUGUGCACAGAGAAGAGGUCCCAGAUCUGACCUCUGGGGCUUGUCAGUGCUUAGAGAUCAGGGAGAUGAAGCUGAGAAGGAGCAACUAGGAGCACCUGGUGUCCUGGAAGCCAGGAAAAGCCAGUGCUUCAAGGAGGAAGAGGUGUUCACCUGGGUCCGGUGUUGCUGAUGGGAGAAGUGAUAUUUGGAUGGACCACAAGAAGAGCUUUGGGUGACACGCGGUGGCCCAGGUUCAACCAAUGAAGCAACGCACGGGGCAGGGCUCCUUGCCAUUUUUGUGCCUUGGACCACUUGGCUGUCUGAUGAAGACCAUGGAUGCUUCUCAGAAGACUGUUC